Molecule: long non-coding RNA, 167 nt
Organism: Sapajus apella (tufted capuchin)
Lineage: Eukaryota; Metazoa; Chordata; Mammalia; Primates; Cebidae
Exons: 3
Source: RefSeq, a predicted model, not a curated record
GCUGUGUCUUUUGAUUGGGGGAUUUAGUCGAUUUAAAUUUAGGAUUAAUAAUAAUAUAUAUGAGUAUAAUACUGCCAUUUGAUGUUGGCUGGCUGUUUUGCCCAUUAGUUGAUGCAAAUUCUUCAUCAUGUUGAUGCUCUUUACCUUCUGUGUGUUUUGAGAGUGGC